RNAcentral lists this long non-coding RNA (290 nucleotides) under Equus caballus (horse). RNAcentral describes it as "lncRNA (ENSECAG00000058836.1)". Lineage: Eukaryota; Metazoa; Chordata; Mammalia; Perissodactyla; Equidae. The record is from RNAcentral.
CACUACUUGAAAAAUAAGUAAUUGAAAUUUGGGAUCACGGACAUUUUGAAAGCAAUUUGAAUCUAGUGGAUCAAGAUCAGUUUUGACAAAGCUACAAAUCACUCUUUGGUCUUUAUGAAUUCAAUAUGCAUUUUUAAAAACAAACCACCAGUAUUCCUCUAAAGAGUCUGUAUCUCUCCAGCAACUGUUAAAAUAACUUGUUGGGCCACUUUAAAACUAAUUAACAAAGCCUCAUCCAGGAAUAUUAAGGCAGUUAAGACACAAUGUGCCAGCGGCUGUCAGAUGAGUGU